AAAUACUGUAGACAUAAGUUUUCGUAUCUAACUUUAAUCAUUAUUUUUUAUGAUUAGUAUUUUUAUUGUUAUUAGCUGAUAAAGCAUUAAUAAUACUUUUAUGCAUGACUUAUGUUUUUAAUUGUUUUCAAAAUUUUUUGAAUAAGAUAAUGAUUAAAAUUUAACAUAGAAAUUAAUGACCGCACUUAAA
MicroRNA precursor from Oryza rufipogon (brownbeard rice), 190 nucleotides. It matches the Rfam family "MIR812 microRNA precursor family". The record is from Rfam. Lineage: Eukaryota; Viridiplantae; Streptophyta; Magnoliopsida; Poales; Poaceae.